AAAUAAAAGUUUGCAUCGGCUAAGGCCUGAUGCCUGUUCUGCAUACAUUGUGAAGAGAAGAUUGAUCUGGAGGCUUCCAGGUGUUUUGGGUUUUGGCCCGAAACGUCCGAGCCCAGUUCUGCUGAUCCUAUGGAUGGCCUAGCCGGCCGGAGAUAGGGGAAGGACUGGAGUGAGGUCGGAAGCUUGUCGCUCUGGAUCGUUUGUUGUUCGUGGCUUCGGCCUCGUCUGAUGAACGAUCGGAUUACCGUUGCCUGACCGCGCGGUAUCGGAUCCAAUCUCGAGAAGCUGGUCUUAAGACCUGACACAAGCGAGCUGCUCGGCGUAGCUCCAAUAAAGUGCUCAGGUCGAACACGUCGAUGGCAUCAUGAAUGGUCUGGGUUGUAAAAGGUAACC
RNAcentral lists this small RNA (393 nucleotides) under Rhizobium phaseoli. RNAcentral's name for it is "miscellaneous other RNA". Lineage: Bacteria; Pseudomonadati; Pseudomonadota; Alphaproteobacteria; Hyphomicrobiales; Rhizobiaceae. The record is from RNAcentral.